UUCCCAAUCCUAGCCCUAACCCUAAUGCGAUAGACACUUUUAUCCUAUAUGAUGGAGGAUUUUGCUCAAAGUUCAAUGUCGUCCUAGAUUUGUGGACUCUACUUUGGAAGAUCUGUGGAUUCAACUUGUUCACAUCAAGAACUGACUUAUCUACUUAAAUUCUCAGUGGGGCAUGUACUGAGACUUCAAGAUGUUGAAUAUUUAAUUAGAUGUUAACCUCAAGAAUUUAAUUAAUGUUGGAUUUGCACAUCUA
This is a long non-coding RNA of Carya illinoinensis, 253 nucleotides long. RefSeq lists it as uncharacterized. Lineage: Eukaryota; Viridiplantae; Streptophyta; Magnoliopsida; Fagales; Juglandaceae. The record is from RefSeq and is a predicted model, not a curated record. The transcript is spliced from 2 exons.